Molecule: ribosomal RNA, 292 nt
Filed under: uncultured Acidobacteriota bacterium
Lineage: Bacteria; Pseudomonadati; Acidobacteriota
Description: uncultured Acidobacteria bacterium partial 16S ribosomal RNA
Source: RNAcentral
GGACUACUGGGGUAUCUAAUCCUGUUUGCUACCCUAGCUUUCGCGCCUCAGCGUCAGUACCGGUCCAGGUAGCCGCCUUCGCCACCGGUGUUCCUCCCAAUAUCUACGCAUUUCACCGCUACACUGGGAAUUCCACUACCCUCUCCCGGACUCUAGCCGAGCAGUUUAAGACGCAGUUCCUUGGUUGAGCCAAGGGAUUUCACGUCAGACUUACCCGACCGCCUACGCGCCCUUUACGCCCAAUAAUUCCGAACAACGCUGGCCCCCUCCGUAUUACCGCGGCGGCUGGCAC